AAAGUCGUAACAAGGUUUCCGUAGGUGAACCUGCGGAAGGAUCAUUAAUGAAUAAACUUGGUGGAUUGUUGCUGGCUCUUAGGAGUAUGUGCACAUCUGUCAUUGUUUCAUUCUUUCUCCACCUGUGCACCUUUGUAGGCUUGAAUCUUCUCAAGAGAUGUAUUCUCUUGGAAAUAAGGACUGAUAUCUCACCCAGAGAAAGCUGUCCUUUAUGUUCAAGUCUAUGUUUUUAUCUACACCCUAUUAGAAUGUUUCUGAAUGUAUUACAAAUUUGGCCCUAGGCCUUAUUAAAACCUUAUACAACUUUCAACAACGGAUCUCUUGGUUCUC
RNAcentral lists this unclassified non-coding RNA (330 nucleotides) under Basidiomycota sp. Its description in RNAcentral is "partial contains small subunit ribosomal RNA, internal transcribed spacer 1, and 5.8S ribosomal RNA". The stretch from base 1 to 47 matches the Rfam family "Eukaryotic small subunit ribosomal RNA", at positions 1785 to 1831 of the family's 1831-position model. Lineage: Eukaryota; Fungi; Basidiomycota. The record is from RNAcentral.